This is a small nucleolar RNA of Humulus lupulus (European hop), 94 nucleotides long. RefSeq annotates it as small nucleolar RNA R32/R81/Z41. The transcript has a single exon. The record is from RefSeq and is a predicted model, not a curated record. Lineage: Eukaryota; Viridiplantae; Streptophyta; Magnoliopsida; Rosales; Cannabaceae.
UUGUGAAAAUGAUGAAAGAGAAUUUAAGAGUGAUGAUUACUUAUUGUUUUGAUGUGAUCAUAAAUCUACUCGCUACGUUCUUUCUGAUUCUCUG